GACAACCUGGCCGAGCGGUUAAGGCGAUUGACUAGAAUUUUCUCCCUCUAGGAUCACACAGAUCAAUCAUCAAUUGGAGUUUCUCCGCGUAGGUUCAAAUCCUGCGGUUGUCG
RNAcentral lists this transfer RNA (113 nucleotides) under Melampsora larici-populina 98AG31. RNAcentral's name for it is "tRNA-Ser for anticodon AGA". It matches the Rfam family "tRNA". Rfam says of the family: Transfer RNA (tRNA) molecules are approximately 80 nucleotides in length. Their secondary structure includes four short double-helical elements and three loops (D, anti-codon, and T loops). Lineage: Eukaryota; Fungi; Basidiomycota; Pucciniomycetes; Pucciniales; Melampsoraceae. The record is from Rfam by way of RNAcentral.